This 2596-nucleotide long non-coding RNA is filed under the name Homo sapiens (human). RNAcentral describes it as "long independently transcribed non-coding RNA 2955, transcript variant 9 (LINC02955)". Lineage: Eukaryota; Metazoa; Chordata; Mammalia; Primates; Hominidae. The record is from RNAcentral.
ACACGCUUCCCCACUGAGGGAAGACCAUGUGACUAUACAACAGGAAGGUAGUUGUUUACAAGCCAGGAAGAGAGCCCUCACCAGAAACCAAAUUGGCUGGCGCCUUGAUCAUGGACUCCUGGGCUCCGGAACUGUAAGAAAAUUUGUGUUGUGGAAGCCACCCAGCCCAUGGUAUUUCGUUAUGGCAGCCUGAGCAGAGGUGGUAGCUAUGUGGACAGUUUUUGGACUUCUCUAUUGUAACACAGGAGGCAACACAGAUUCUUCAAGUCUCACAGCUACUCCCUAGGGAUCACUGGGGAACUUGGAAAAAAUCUAUUGGCUCAGCUAGUGAGCGAUCACUUCCUGUACCACUGUUCUGAGGGCGGACUUCCAGCUCAGGAUCAUGCGAGGGCAUUUUGUUGCCCUUCAUCACUCAGCAGUGAAGAAUGAAAAUCAACAGAGCUUUCCCCAGCCUGCUGCUUAAGCAGCUGCUAGCAGGCUGAGGCUGCCCAGCCUCAUUAACCCAUUAGAUGCUGCGUUCGCCCGGGAGUCAUUCUUAAUGAGGCUGCUGCAGAGACGGCGUUUCACCAUGUUGCCCAGACUGGUCUCGAACUCCUGGCUUCAAGUGAUCCUCCUGCCUCAACCUCCCAAAGUGCUGGUAUUACAGAUGAGAAAACAGAAGCAAAGGCAGAAAGAUGCUACAUUGCCAGCUUUGAAGAUGGAGGGAAGAGGUCACAAACCAAGGAAGGCAAUGAGGACGUUGCACAAGACAGUCCCUGAUACCCAGAGUUUACUGCCUAAGAGAGGAUACAUCCUUCAAACCAAUAAUCUGCUAAUAGCAAGAUCCAAUAGCUUCAUGGAUAUUGAAAGAAACUGAGAAUCAAAUUUGCAUACUUCUGAGUCACUUGGAAACAAAAAACAAGUACAGUCUUAGAUUCUGAGGGAACAAAAAUUAAAAAUCACAUUAGGAAGAGAAUUCCUAAUGUAGGAACUCAUCCUGGAAGAUUCUUCAGCAAAAGUACAGACAAUAAUAAUAAUACUCCAUGAAGUUACCAUCGAUAUUGAAUGAAUUAAUGAAUGUAAAAACCUCAAAACCCUGCCUGGCCCAGAGCUUUGGAAUGGGUUUGGAUCUACCACUCAACUGCUUUAUGACUUCAGACCAGUUAUUUAAAUUCCCUGAAGCUCAGUUUCCACAUCUUUGAGUUUUUAUUAAUGACCUGCCGACAUCAUACAGUUCAUGAAAUGCUCUGGAUGUGUACAUGCUGAUGAUACGACCUCAGACCCAGCAAGAGCUCAGUGCAGCCCGGAGAGCUGUGAGCAGUGCCACAGGAGGAGAUGACUGGUGAGUGAAAUAAGCAAGAUAGGAGUUGAAGUGUACAUGAAGCAGAGUCCAAGCCUUCUCCUUCUGGAUGUUCAGCUGGAUCAUCCUGACUGCUCCCACUUUCAUCUUGGCUUUCAAAGGCAAGAGGAAAUUAUAAGGAAUAUUCUGAGUGGCUUUCAUCCAGGAGUUCUGUGGGACCCGCAACACCUGGAUGGUAGAUGCAAACAGAUAAAGAAUAUUGGUCACCAAAAGGAGUUCUUUUCAUCAUAGAUCUCUGAAGGUAGACACCUAUUUGCAGACUUCUCAAAGGGCUAUAUGGAUGUGCUCUACUUGUUGGAGGAUUGUCCAUCCACUCUUCUUCCUGUACUUACCAGGACAGAACAGCCGCAACUUCUCAGACAGUUCAUUCUUCUUUUCCUCACCUACUACCAUCUAAGAAAGGUACUUGAUGACUGUGGCUUUAGACAAGAGUCCUUUUCUUACCACAGGGUGGGCAGCACCAGCUCAUUAGAACCAUUUGUGUGACUGACUGAAGACAGCUCACCUUGGAACACUGCAGAAUAUGGCGUAAGUGACAUUUUACAAGUUCCAGAGCCUGGGACUCAAGAUGUCUUGGAGAUUCUGUCUUUGCAGUCUUAUAAUGAUGCCCUGAGAUCAUCAUUAAAGAAAGCCAGUCUGGCCUACUGAGGAUGAGAAGCUACAUAAAGGAGAAUGAAGAUUCCCCAGCCAACAGGCAAUAUCAGUGGUCAGAUAUGUGAAUAAAGCCAUGUUGAACCUCUCGGCUAGACGACCCUCCAGCAUAUGAAACCAGCAGAUGAAUAUCCCAGCCUGCCUGAAGAACUGUACAGGAAAUAAGAAAUCAUUGUUUUUUAAGCCACUGGGUUGGUGGGUGGUUUGUUACAUUGAAAUUGUUAACUAAAACAGAAAUUGGUGCAUAGAGGUCAGGUGCUGUCAUAAUAAAAAUCUAAAACAUAUACUGUUGGCUUUGGUGAUGGGAGUGAUUGGUAGCUAAAGAGGCAGUGAAACAAUGAUUAGUAGAUACUGGGAAGUUAAUAAGGAAAUUUCUAUUGGAGGGUGGAGAAAGGGCCACCCUUGUUAUAUAGUGGCCAAAGAAUCAGCAAAAUGUUGCCUGCUGCAACCUGGAAAGUAGAAACUUUUCUUAAACUCACGGAUCUGGCUGGGAGAUUUCCAGGAUGCAUGCAACAAAUGUGAAUCAACUUUGUAUAGCUGUGUAUAAUAAAGUGUGCUGUAUUUGUCCAUUCUGAUGCUGCUAAUAAAGACAUACCUGAGACUGAA